This 21-nucleotide non-coding RNA is filed under the name Caenorhabditis elegans. Lineage: Eukaryota; Metazoa; Nematoda; Chromadorea; Rhabditida; Rhabditidae. The record is from RNAcentral.
UGGGUCCAACUGUUCAACAAU